GCUAGAUGGGCUCAGGAGUUCAAGUUUUGGUAACUGGGCUUAAGAUUUUCAGGGAUAGUGAUCUCAUAUGUACGUCGUUAUGUAGCGCGCUAUAGCGUAACAGUGUUGAAAGGCGUAUCUGCGAAACUACUGGCUAAGUUGAUGCCGGAACAUGCUUGGAAGCAAUAUCCCUCGCUCGGACUUUAGGUUGUAACACUGUUUUGUGUAUUCUGUAUUCUAAUUUGUAUUUUUUUAAUUGUGUUCCACAUGUUUUGUGUAUUCUGUAUUCGAUCAGUGUCUAACAUUUUUAGACAUUCAAUUGUGUUCCAAGCAUGUUAUGUAUUCAAUUAAUCACAUUUUUAAUUGAACCAUGUGCUAAUAACAUUACAUCUUUUACAUCUUUUA
This is a long non-coding RNA of Helianthus annuus (common sunflower), 384 nucleotides long. RefSeq lists it as uncharacterized. The record is from RefSeq and is a predicted model, not a curated record. The transcript has 2 exons. NCBI's taxonomy places the organism in Eukaryota, Viridiplantae, Streptophyta, Magnoliopsida, Asterales, Asteraceae.